GAUGAACGCUGGCGGCGUGCCUAAUACAUGCAAGUCGAGCGAACGGACGAGAAGCUUGCUUCUCUGAUGUUAGCGGCGGACGGGUGAGUAACACGUGGAUAACCUACCUAUAAGACUGGGAUAACUUCGGGAAACCGGAGCUAAUACCGGAUAAUAUUUUGAACCGCAUGGUUCAAAAGUGAAAGACGGUCUUGCUGUCACUUAUAGAUGGAUCCGCGCUGCAUUAGCUAGUUGGUAAGGUAACGGCUUACCAAGGCAACGAUGCAUAGCCGACCUGAGAGGGUGAUCGGCCACACUGGAACUGAGACACGGUCCAGACUCCUACGGGAGGCAGCAGUAGGGAAUCUUCCGCAAUGGGCGAAAGCCUGACGGAGCAACGCCGCGUGAGUGAUGAAGGUCUUCGGAUCGUAAAACUCUGUUAUUAGGGAAGAACAUAUGUGUAAGUAACUGUGCACAUCUUGACGGUACCUAAUCAGAAAGCCACGGCUAACUACGUGCCAGCAGCCGCGGUAAUACGUAGGUGGCAAGCGUUAUCCGGAAUUAUUGGGCGUAAAGCGCGCGUAGGCGGUUUUUUAAGUCUGAUGUGAAAGCCCACGGCUCAACCGUGGAGGGUCAUUGGAAACUGGAAAACUUAAGCGCAGAAGAGGAAAGUGGAAUUCCAUGUGUAGCGGUGAAAUGCGCAGAGAUAUGGAGGAACACCAGUGGCGAAGGCGACUUUCUGGUCUGUAACUGACGCUGAUGUGCGAAAGCGUGGGGAUCAAACAGGAUUAGAUACCCUGGUAGUCCACGCCGUAAACGAUGAGUGCUAAGUGUUAGGGGGUUUCCGCCCCUUAGUGCUGCAGCUAACGCAUUAAGCACUCCGCCUGGGGAGUACGACCGCAAGGUUGAGACUCAAAGGAAUUGACGGGGACCCGCACAAGCGGUGGAGCAUGUGGUUUAAUUCGAAGCAACGCGAAGAACCUUACCAAAUCUUGACAUCCUUUGACAACUCUAGAGAUAGAGCUUUCCCCUUCGGGGGACAAAGUGACAGGUGGUGCAUGGUUGUCGUCAGCUCGUGUCGUGAGAUGUUGGGUUAAGUCCCGCAACGAGCGCAACCCUUAAGCUUAGUUGCCAUCAUUAAGUUGGGCACUCUAAGUUGACUGCCGGUGACAAACCGGAGGAAGGUGGGGAUGACGUCAAAUCAUCAUGCCCCUUAUGAUUUGGGCUACACACGUGCUACAAUGGACAAUACAAAGGGCAGCGAAACCGUGAGGUCAAGCAAAUCCCAUAAAGUUGUUCUCAGUUCGGAUUGUAGUCUGCAACUCGACUACAUGAAGCUGGAAUCGCUAGUAAUCGUAGAUCAGCAUGCUACGGUGAAUACGUUCCCGGGUCU
Molecule: ribosomal RNA, 1372 nt
Filed under: uncultured bacterium
Lineage: Bacteria
Description: bacterial SSU rRNA
Rfam family: Bacterial small subunit ribosomal RNA
Source: RNAcentral